CAGUCGCCGCGGGAAUACGGAGGGGGCUAGCGUUGUUCGGAAUUACUGGGCGUAAAGCGCACGUAGGCGGCUGUGUAAGUCAGAGGUGAAAGCCCGGGGCUCAACCCCGGAAUAGCCUUUGAGACUGCAUAGCUUGAACACGGGAGAGGUGAGUGGAAUUCCGAGUGUAGAGGUGAAAUUCGUAGAUAUUCGGAAGAACACCAGUGGCGAAGGCGGCUCACUGGCCCGAUACUGACGCUGAGGCACGAAAGCGUGGGGAGCAAACAGGAUUAGAGACCCCUGUAGUCCCUGUCUCUUAUAA
This 301-nucleotide ribosomal RNA is filed under the name uncultured bacterium. RNAcentral describes it as "partial 16S ribosomal RNA". It matches the Rfam family "Bacterial small subunit ribosomal RNA", at positions 509 to 809 of the family's 1533-position model. The record is from RNAcentral.